UACAGAGGUGGCAAGCGUUGUUCGGAUUCAUUGGGCGUAAAGAGCGCGUAGGCGGUCCUUUAAGUCGGGGGUGAAAUCCCGGGGCUUAACCCCGGAAUUGCCUCCGAUACUGGAGGACUUGAGUGCGGGAGAGGGUAGUGGAAUUCCCAGUGUAGAGGUGAAAUUCGUAGAUAUUGGGAAGAACACCAGUGGCGAAGGCAGCUACCUGGACCGCAACUGACGCUGAGGCGCGAAAGCGUGGGGAGCAAAC
Molecule: ribosomal RNA, 250 nt
Filed under: uncultured bacterium
Lineage: Bacteria
Description: partial 16S ribosomal RNA
Rfam family: Bacterial small subunit ribosomal RNA
Source: RNAcentral